This is a long non-coding RNA of Sapajus apella (tufted capuchin), 4130 nucleotides long. RefSeq lists it as uncharacterized. The transcript has 2 exons. The record is from RefSeq and is a predicted model, not a curated record. NCBI's taxonomy places the organism in Eukaryota, Metazoa, Chordata, Mammalia, Primates, Cebidae.
CAGAGAUGUUUAUUGGCAGCCCCUGAUUGCCAGUUGCUCUGCUAGAUGUUCAAGUUAGAUUAAUGCAAUAUAGACAAUAGCCUGAGCCUCAUCUUCCACAAGUUUACUGUUUGUUGGAUUUUCCAACAUAUAUAAAUGUGAAAAAUGAUAACACAAAAGAAGAGGAUCAAUAUAUCCUGAAAUAAGAAAAAAAUCCAAAUGAAACAGAAAAUGCUCACACUAGGGUGGAAUUUUCACACUAGUGUGAAAAUUUCACCCUAGUGUGAGAGAGAGAGAGAGAGUAGAAAAAAUAUUUACUAAGGAAGAACUGAAAAUUGACAUAUGACUGCAAUUAAUUUGUGUUUGGAAUUGUAUAUAAUUUUGUUUUAGUUAAUAUUUUGUAAAGUAUAUUUAAAUAUACUCCUGAAUUUAACUGGUCACAAAUUACCUUAACAGCUUCAUAAUAUGCCAAGUUAGAGAAACACACAAUAAAAUAACAUAUUUUGACCAUCAGUCUUCCUUAGUGGUAAGGUUAGUGAUGCAGCAACAAAACAAAACAGAAAAACAAAUAGACGCACACAAAAAAGGUCCACCUGUGGCUUCCAGAUUUUCCACAUAGUAGGGGCUUAGUGGUGACAAUCUUGAUGGUGGUAAGUGACAUUCUCAUUUGCAUAUUGUCUUCAUUUAAACUGCAUUCUUAUCUGUCCUUGUCUGGAGAGGCUACUAAUGGAGAUUAUUAGGAGCUCACAUCACAUCAAGCCAUCAUUUUGAGUUGCCACAGUUGAGUUGCCAUAGGCAAACUGGUAUAUUUUCAUGAUGCAUAGUUACGUAAAAAUAUUCCCAUAACAGUGUAGAAGAGUUUUUUUUCUGGUCACUAUUCAUAACCUAUAUUAUCCGAUUUCAGCCAAGGUAUUGUUUUUAAAUGAUGGAUAAAUUUUAUUGAAAAUUCAAUCUCUUCUCAAGGAAAAACCUAGAUCAGUCUCUUGAGUGAAGUUCUCAGAUUUAGUUGUAGAAAAUAUCAUAUUUAUCUAAGUCUAAUUUGAAUGUUAAAAAGCUUAAUGCUUGUAUAUAAAGAGCCAUUAAGAAAAACUCACCUUGACUCAGCCAUUCUACUUCCAGCAAUCCAAAAUAUAUAGAAACUUAUGUCCCCCCAAAUUUAUUGUUGUAUAUUUAUGAAAAUUAAUUAAAGUAGUCAAAAUAUUUAAUAAUGGUGAACAACUGCACAGAUUAUAAAAUGUCUGCUAGAUGAAAUGCUACUAGAUGUGCUGUUAUGUAGCUAUUAAAAUUGCACUUAUAAAAUAUUUAUAAUGAUAUAUAAAUGAAAUCUGCUGCAAUGCUUAAUACUAUUAUCAUAUAAAACUGCAUAAAAAUAAGGAGCUCAACUAUGACUACAGGAAGUGUACAUUAUAGGGCUAGAAAUAAUUACAUCAAGUUAAUUAUAAUGACAUCAAAGCAGUUGUCUUUGGUAGUGGGAAUUUGAAUCCAUUAUCUUUCCCAAUUUUUUUUGUACUUUAUACAACAAGCAUAUUGUGAUGUGUCAAAUGCAUAAACCUCUCGACUAUUUUGAAAAUUCUCUUCUCUGAUAUACCUUGGAGCUAUAAGACUUUGAUUAGUUUCUGCAAAUUUUUUUGUUCUAUUUUGCUUUGUUUUCAUCUCUGUAAAGAACAAACUUUCUUAUAUGCCUUCACACCUCAACAAUCAGUGCAGAAGUUUUCUGUGUCCAAGUGAGCUUGGCUUUCCCUGAACACAUCAAGCAAGCAAUCAAUUCUGCAGCAGACACAGGUUGAGUGUCCUCUAAUUCAGUUCAAUUCUAACACUAUUCAUCUGGAGACAGCAUCAGAUCCCAGGGUAAGGGCUCAGUCCCCAAGAACGCCCCCUCCCACCACUUCAGAAGCCAUCUGCAAGCUGUGGGUUGGUCUACCUGUGUUUUUGAUUGAGGAGCUACAAAUCAUUCCUACAAAUCCCUCUUUCAGGUUCAGUUAACUUACUAGAGCUGCUCAGUGAACUCAGGGAAACAUUUAUGCUUAGUGGUUUAUCACAAAGGAAGUUACAAAGGAUGCUGAUGAACACCAGAUGAAGAGAUGGGCAGUGUCCUCCAUGACUGAAGACUUAAGAAAUAUGAUUGAAGAUAUAUGUCAAUAAGAUGUAGGCAAGUAAGCAAGUGUUUUAAUUAUCUUGAUGUGAUUUUCUGUCUAACUAUGAAGACAUCUAGAAUCAUAUUCUCUAUUCCAGGAAUAUAUUUAGUAUUGUUCACUGACAGCCUAAGUUUCUCCCUACCAUAACAUUUAUUAUUGUUUAAUUAAAUAGAGACAAGUCAAGUGGUUCAGAAAGAAACCAAGUAAAUGAAUCUCCAUCAGUCUUUACAUAAUUAAUAGUAUUCUCUGUAGACUGCACAAUUUAUUAAAUUCCUGAGCAGAACCACUUCAGAUAAAUAUAUUUGUGUAUUCUGAGUCAAAGACUACUCUAGACACUGUAGAAAGUUGGAAACUAAAUUAAGUCAGUGAAUUUUUUUUAAAUGUGUAAAUAUGACAAAACUUAGGAGAGCAAAAACUAUUAAUAGUACUCCAUUUCUUCCUUUGGCAUUUUCAGAACCCUUAAUGUAAUACUAUAGCAAUUUUGAAAGGAGAAUCACUUAGAAAAAAAUAAUAUGAAAAAUCAAGGUAUUGGAAAUAAAGUAUAUAUUAAACAGUACAGAUUUCUAGGGAAAACAAAUAAAUCCCUACACUCAGACCAUAUACUUUUCUCCCUAUAGAGUAAAUUGCAAGUGAAAUUUUACAUUCGAAUGAUUCUGGCCAUAGGAUAUAUAUUGUAUCAAGAGACUUUAUAUUUUAUAUUUAAGAUGAGUGAAAAUAUGUUUCAGGAAUAUGUUUUUUGUUCCUUAGGAUUAAGCUUUGUAUAGAGAGUGUUACACAGAAGUUUUAUUCUCGCUGUCUCUGAGAGAGCACAGCUGUAAUGAUUCUCUAUGAGGCCACCAACACAGCAGAAUUAACCAGGAAAAAGCAGGCUCCUAUGCAGAGCCCUUCAAAUAAUAAAGAAGGCAAGACCCCUAAGCAUUUUAUUUGUGUUUAGUUUAGGCAAAAUUCAGUCUUAUCAUAUUUGACACAUUAUUAACAACACUGUUUUUCAAGGACAUAUCACAGAUUAAAGUCAUUGACCCAGAUAACAAAAAUUAUAACGUAAGUUUGUGUUGUGAAUGUCAAUUAUAGCUGUUAAAACUGAUAUAUGCUGUUAAAAAAAAGAGCAUGUUGAACCAUUCCAGCAAAAUUUUUAGUGGGAAAAUUCAUUAAAUAAUUCAGAAGAAAUUGCAAUAAUUAAUCAUUGGCCUUGAAUAAAUUGCCAGAGUGAAACAACAUACUAUCUUGUGUUUAAUGAAACCUAUACAUGAAAUUAUUUUCAAUUUCUGAAACGUAUCAUUUCAAAUGUAAUGAGAAUUCUUUCACUCAUGAUUCAUAGAUAAUAUCAAAGCUGUCUUGGAUGCUGUUAGGACAGAGUAUUUCUGGGAUACUAUUAAUCAAACUGAAGAAAGUAAAAAUAGGCUUAUAAAGUAGUCUAGACCCAAAAGGGAGGAUAGACAUUAAUUUGUCUGAUAUAUUGGAUACAUUAAUAUACAAUGCAUCUGUAGUACUUGACCUUAAGUGUCAGGAAUAUAAUGCACCAUAUCUUUUUUAUAAGCAGUACUUCAAAGAGGUGUUUCUGGUCAAUAUUAUUUUGUACUGCAAGGUUAAAAUGAUGAAAUGCAUAAAACAUGAAAUACAUGACUUGUUAAAAUACAAUUUACCAGUCCAUAUGCAGGGGUUUUUUUAAUGCCACACCUCAACAACAAAACUUUCAGAUAAAAAUUAAUCAUCAACAUAAUGUUGUAUGGUAAUGGCAUGAAUUUUGUUUCCAUUUAAAUGUUUACGUUUAUCUCAAAUCGCUAAGUUAAUAGUAGCUUUAAGUCUGCAACCAAGAAUUUAGAUUUUUUGUUUCUUUUAUGCAAUUUUUGUAGCAAUUUUUAUUCAUGGAGUAUGUAUAUCCUCAACUAACACCAAGUAUUUGUUAGUAAUGAUCUCAAGGUAAGAGCUCUGAAAAAACGACAUUGGCCUUAAAUAUUCACUAAAACCUAGCUGUAUGAUUGUUGCUUGACCAAGUGCCUUUGACAAAAUCUAUCU